AUUGAACGCUGGCGGCAGGCCUAACACAUGCAAGUCGAGCGGAUGAAGGGAGCUUGCUCCUGGAUUCAGCGGCGGACGGGUGAGUAAUGCCUAGGAAUCUGCCUGGUAGUGGGGGAUAACGUCCGGAAACGGGCGCUAAUACCGCAUACGUCCUGAGGGAGAAAGUGGGGGAUCUUCGGACCUCACGCUAUCAGAUGAGCCUAGGUCGGAUUAGCUAGUUGGUGGGGUAAAGGCCUACCAAGGCGACGAUCCGUAACUGGUCUGAGAGGAUGAUCAGUCACACUGGAACUGAGACACGGUCCAGGCUCCUACGGGAGGCAGCAGUGGGGAAUAUUGGACAAUGGGCGAAAGCCUGCUCCAGCCAUGCCGCGUGUGUGAAGAAGGUCUUCGGAUUGUAAAGCACUUUAAGUUGGGAGGAAGGGCAGUAAGUUAAUACCUUGCUGUUUUGACGUUACCAACAGAAUAAGCACCGGCGAACUUCGU
RNAcentral lists this ribosomal RNA (483 nucleotides) under uncultured bacterium. RNAcentral's name for it is "partial 16S ribosomal RNA". It matches the Rfam family "Bacterial small subunit ribosomal RNA", at positions 30 to 506 of the family's 1533-position model. The record is from RNAcentral.